This 332-nucleotide unclassified non-coding RNA is filed under the name soil metagenome. RNAcentral describes it as "partial contains 5.8S ribosomal RNA, internal transcribed spacer 2, and large subunit ribosomal RNA". The stretch from base 1 to 120 matches the Rfam family "5.8S ribosomal RNA", at positions 35 to 154 of the family's 154-position model. The record is from RNAcentral.
GAUGAAGAACGUAGUGAAAUGCGAUAAGUAAUGUGAAUUGCAGAAUUCAGUGAAUCGUCGAAUCUUUGAACGCACAUUGCGCCCGCUAGUAUUCUGGCGGGCAUGCCUGUUCGAGCGUCAUUUCAACCAUCAAGCCCUGUUUAGGCUUGUGUUGGGGCCCUGCGGUUGCCGCAGCCCCCUAAAUGCAGUGGCGGGCUCGUUGUCACUCCGAGCGCAGUAGCGUAUCUCGCUCUGGGCGUGGCGGCGGGUGCUAGCCGUGAAACACCCACUAAGGUUGACCUCGGAUCAGGUAGGAAUACCCGCUGAACUUAAGCAUAUCAAUAAGCGGAGGA